CAAAGAAAAUGUGUCCCCAAAUGUGUGUCCUUUCUGGUUCUCUCAGUGUUGCAUGAACUAACUUGGGAAGAAAAGGUGAAGAGACAGAUUUUACUACAGUGCACAUUUUGGAAAAAACAAGGAGUGGUGUCUUCCAUCAGACCUUCCCUUCAAAAAGGGAACUGGAAAUAGUAAGUCAUUUGUGUUACAAUGCAUGGACUACAAAUACAGUGGGAGCAGGGGAGAAAUGGAUGCUCUCAUUUGUCACAUUCAAGAUAGUCUU
Molecule: long non-coding RNA, 262 nt
Organism: Perognathus longimembris pacificus (Pacific pocket mouse)
Lineage: Eukaryota; Metazoa; Chordata; Mammalia; Rodentia; Heteromyidae
Exons: 3
Source: RefSeq, a predicted model, not a curated record